Amoeboaphelidium occidentale is the source of this 72-nucleotide non-coding RNA. The record is from the annotation of a GenBank genome assembly. NCBI's taxonomy places the organism in Eukaryota, Fungi, Aphelidiomycota, Aphelidea.
GGCCCAAUGGUUUAAUGGUAUAAUACUCGGUUUGGGUCCGAGUGGUUCUGGGUUCGAUUCCCAGUUGGGCCC